Molecule: ribosomal RNA, 301 nt
Filed under: uncultured bacterium
Lineage: Bacteria
Description: partial 16S ribosomal RNA
Rfam family: Bacterial small subunit ribosomal RNA
Source: RNAcentral
CAGCAGCCGCGGUAAUACGUAGGGUGCAAGCGUUAAUCGGAAUUACUGGGCGUAAAGCGUGCGUAGGCGGUGAGUUAAGUCUGCUGUGAAAUCCCCGGGCUCAACCUGGGAAUGGCAGUGGAUACUGGCUCGCUAGAGUGUGUCAGAGGGUGGUGGAAUUCCCGGUGUAGCGGUGAAAUGCGUAGAGAUCGGGAGGAACAUCAGUGGCGAAGGCGGCCAUCUGGGACAACACUGACGCUGAGGCACGAAAGCGUGGGGAGCAAACAGGAUUAGAUACCCCCGUAGUCCCUGUCUCUUAUAC